Molecule: transfer RNA, 66 nt
Filed under: Periplaneta lateralis (Turkestan cockroach)
Lineage: Eukaryota; Metazoa; Arthropoda; Insecta; Blattodea; Blattidae
Also listed under: 1 other name
Description: Shelfordella lateralis (Turkestan cockroach) tRNA-Asn
Source: RNAcentral
UUAACUGAAACCAAAAAGAGGUAUAUUACUGUUAAUAAUAAAAUUGAAUUAAAUAUUCCAGUUAAG